RNAcentral lists this ribosomal RNA (678 nucleotides) under Baeus sp. M383. RNAcentral's name for it is "bacterial SSU rRNA". It matches the Rfam family "Eukaryotic small subunit ribosomal RNA", at positions 462 to 1088 of the family's 1831-position model. Lineage: Eukaryota; Metazoa; Arthropoda; Insecta; Hymenoptera; Scelionidae. The record is from RNAcentral.
AGGUAGUGACGAAAAAUAACGAUACGGGACUCAUCUGAGGCUCCGUAAUCGGAAUGAGUACACUUUAAAUCCUUUAACGAGGAUCCAUUGGAGGGCAAGUCUAAUGCCAGCAGCCGCGGUAAUUUUAGCUCCAAUAGCGUAUAUUAAAGUUGUUGCGGUUAAAAAGCUCGUAGUUGAAUCUGUGUGCUACGCUGUCGGUUCACCGCUCGCGGUGUUAAACUGAUGUGCCGUGGUACGUCCUACCGGUGGGCUUAGCUCUUCCCCUUCGUGGGUGUUUGAGCGGUCCUAUUUAAUCCCAUUGCGGUGCUCUUCAUCGAGUGUCGAGGUGGGCCGGUACGUUUACUUUGAACAAAUUAGAGUGCUCAAAGCAGGCUAUUUUCGCCUGAAUAUGUGUGCAUGGAAUAAUGGAAUAGGAUCUCGGUUCUAUUUUGUUGGUUUUCGGAACACCGAGGUAAUGAUUAAUAGGGACAGAUGGGGGCAUUCGUAUUGUAACGUUAGAGGUGAAAUUCUUGGAUCGUUGCAAGACGGACAGAAGCGAAAGCAUUUGCCAAAAAUGUUUUCAUUAAUCAAGAACGACAGUUAGAGGAUCGAAGGCGAUCAGAUACCGCCCUAGUUCUAACCAUAAACGAUGCCAGCUAGCGAUCCGCCGAAGUUCCUCCGAUGACUCGGCGGGCAGCU